This 539-nucleotide transfer RNA is filed under the name uncultured Prochlorococcus sp. RNAcentral's name for it is "partial 16S-23S ribosomal RNA intergenic spacer". The stretch from base 209 to 281 matches the Rfam family "tRNA". The record is from RNAcentral. Lineage: Bacteria; Bacillati; Cyanobacteriota; Cyanophyceae; Synechococcales; Prochlorococcaceae.
CAGGGAGACAACAAAAUGUUUAGUAUUAUUUUGUCACCUUAGGUCGAUCGGUAUCUCGCGUUCUUAAAUUUGUUAAGAAUUUCAAUUCCUAAGUUUUUCUAGGUCACACCCAUUAUUUUCCUGGGCCAUUAGCUCAGGUGGUUAGAGCGCACCCCUGAUAAGGGUGAGGUCCCUGGUUCAAGUCCAGGAUGGCCCAUAUCUCUAUGUUGGGGGUAUAGCUCAGUUGGUAGAGCGCCUGCUUUGCAAGCAGGAUGUCAGCGGUUCGAGUCCGCUUACCUCCACUGAUUACCACCUCUUCCAUAAUAUUUAGAAAGGAAAAAUUUUUGAGUUUUGACUAUAGUUCUGAACGAAUCUAGCUUCCUAAUGAAACCAUUAAGAUGCUGGACUCAUUGAAUUAAUUUCAUUGUUUUCAGAGAACCUUGACAACUGCAUAGAUUAUUUUUAAAGACAAUAAGCAUCUUUAAUGAUGCAGAUUUAUUAUUUGUGCAAAUGCAUUAAUAACAAUUCUAUUAAGCUGAUGCUUCAAUUUUGAAGUUAUU